GUUUUACUUCUUUGCUGCAGUAAUAUGUGGUUAUUAUUAUUGCAAGUUGUCCCUUAAUGCUCAUGUCAUUUAUUGACCUUUAUUAUUAAUCCAUUAUUAUAUCACAUACUUCACUGCUUGUUAUUUAAAUUUUUUACACUUGGUAACAAUCUUAAUGGAUGUGAUAUAUGAGCAACCUUAAAAUGGAAAAUAUUUAUAAGGUACAGUAAAUAUAAAUGAAAGAUCACAAUACUUUUUUUUUCCAGAACAGAUUAGAUUUAUAAGGAUUCUGUUUUGUUAUCUAACUAGAUCAAGUAAAUAAAAUGCAUCUUAAUAGAUAAAACUUUAUAUUUCAUGCCAAACUUGAUGGUGUAAUUAAUACAGCAUUUAAAUUUCACUUGAGAAUAAU
RNAcentral lists this unclassified non-coding RNA (388 nucleotides) under Hevea brasiliensis (rubber tree). Lineage: Eukaryota; Viridiplantae; Streptophyta; Magnoliopsida; Malpighiales; Euphorbiaceae. The record is from RNAcentral.